UUCGGAAUUACUGGGCGUAAAGGGCUCGUAGGUGGCCAACUAAGUCAGACGUGAAAUCCCUCGGCUUAACCGGGGAACUGCGUCUGAUACUGGAUGGCUUGAGUUUGGGAGAGGGACGCGGAAUUCCAGGUGUAGCGGUGAAAUUCGUAGAUAUUCGGAAGAACACCAGUGGCGAAGGCGGCUCACUGGACCGGUAUUGACGCUGAGGUGCGAAAGCGUGGGGAGCAAACAGG
RNAcentral lists this ribosomal RNA (233 nucleotides) under uncultured bacterium. Its description in RNAcentral is "partial 16S ribosomal RNA". It matches the Rfam family "Bacterial small subunit ribosomal RNA", at positions 544 to 776 of the family's 1533-position model. The record is from RNAcentral.